GAGGGUAUGGCUCAGUGGGAGGGCACACGCCCAGCAUGCGCAAGGUCCUGGGUUCAAUCCCCAGCACCUCCA
This 72-nucleotide transfer RNA is filed under the name Camelus bactrianus (Bactrian camel). It matches the Rfam family "tRNA". From Rfam's summary of the family: Transfer RNA (tRNA) molecules are approximately 80 nucleotides in length. Their secondary structure includes four short double-helical elements and three loops (D, anti-codon, and T loops). The record is from Rfam by way of RNAcentral. Lineage: Eukaryota; Metazoa; Chordata; Mammalia; Artiodactyla; Camelidae. RNAcentral also lists the same sequence under 2 other names.